The sequence is a regulatory RNA element, 81 nucleotides long. It matches the Rfam family "Coronavirus frameshifting stimulation element". Rfam says of the family: In the classical situation a sequence 32nt downstream of the stem is complementary to part of the loop. The record is from Rfam.
GAGUCAGGGGUUCUAUUGUAGAUGCCCGAAUAGAACCCUGUGCAAGUGGUCUUGCCACUGAUGUCGUUUAUAGGGCAUUUG